AGACACAUGCACAACAUUUUAUAAAUAUUUGAAAAUGCUGAAAAACAAAUUGAAAAUAAAAACAUUUGCACCUGUACAAAUGAGGUUCGGCUGAAUCUCCUCAUAUGGAGAUGGUUUGGGUGUGUAUUAUGCUAAUUACUAUCUGCAGGCAUGCACUCUCCAGAUGUACAUUCAUUAACAUUUCAACAAAGUUCAAUGAAUGUGGUGAAACAACGGGAGCACACAUUGAAAUACGAAGAGCCAGUUUUCUAAACCAGACCACCACUGCCACAUGUAAAGAAACAGAUGAGUGAAUUGAUAUUUGCUGAAAGAUAUCAAGACAACAUAAGUGGUUGGAUUUCGGAACUAUCAAAGUCAUGCCUCGAGCAAAAGAAGAUGGUUUACUUCCUUCCGAAGGAACCAGCUCUUUUGGUAAUGCUCAUCUGAAAAUACAACCAUGUGUGGACGUUGUGUGAUGUGGAUGGUUGAGUGUGCGUGUGUUAGAGACUAAAGGAGGGGAAGUAUGGUUUCAUCUGUUUUGUCCAUCUGUCCAUCAUUGUCUGUUCAUUCUUUUAGACUGUAACCAGUCUCUCUUUCCCUUCACUCUCAAUUUGAAUGUUCAUAUGGUGAUAUGUCAAAAUCUGUGGGUUUGCGUUCUGUACCCAAAUCAAUAUGACAGGCUUUUAAGUGCAAAAUUGCCACUAUGUUUUAAGUGUUUAUUUUUGUAUCUGCCAUUUUAGUGUUUGCAUGAUUAUGUACUGUAUUUUUGUCUUCAUAUAUGUAAUUUACUGAAUAUCGGUCUUACCAUUCCAAACCUAUUCUGUCCGAAGAACGUCUCUGAUAGGGGGAUUGAUCGCCUGUGGCCAGGAAGUGCUCCUUGUCAACACCAGCUCUCUUGUCAUCAGCCUCCCAGAUUUUCUGCUCAGAUGUGGCUCUCUUUCCUGAAAUGUCUCAUGCCUGCGUUGUGUUUCUGUCUGCUUGUCUCAUGGUUGCUCUUGACAAGAAACCACUUGUUGAAAGUUGACCCUUACUGUGGGAAAUUAAAAAGAGGAAAAACUAAGAAACCAAUAUUUCCAAACAAAUAAAUAAAUAAAUAAAAACUAAACGCUAACAGCUUGUCCCACUCUCACUGAUUGAUCACGGGCACAAGUUAGUGUCAAUUGCUUUGGAAUGAUGCGAGAAAACAAAGAUAUGAGAUACGAG
Cyprinus carpio carpio is the source of this 1182-nucleotide long non-coding RNA. Lineage: Eukaryota; Metazoa; Chordata; Actinopteri; Cypriniformes; Cyprinidae. The record is from Ensembl.